RNAcentral lists this long non-coding RNA (533 nucleotides) under Hordeum vulgare. RNAcentral describes it as "long non-coding RNA (HVUL_LNC008600)". The record is from RNAcentral. Lineage: Eukaryota; Viridiplantae; Streptophyta; Magnoliopsida; Poales; Poaceae.
UUAAAAGCGUUUGGUAUUUUUUCUCCCGUUGCAACGCACGGGCCAUUUUGCUAGUGUGAACUAAUAUAUCAAUCUGUGUCCAUGUACUUUCCCGGGUUUUUUUUGUCUUGUCGCCAUUGUUUUAGACCCUAAAUUACAGAGAACGUAGAAAGGAGGACAUUAAUACAACAGAUCAAAGGAAAACAAAUUUUGAAGUUUAUUCAAUGCACAAAUCAGAAAGAAAGGAGUAUGAAACUUUCAUCAAAUCUUGGUAUAAAAGCAGUGUCAGAAACGAACCUGAUCCAGAACCUGAUCAAGAUGAGGAACAAAAAUUUGAUGCAUUAAGAUCAUUGAUCAACUGGAUCCAUGCCCGAAACUCCCUUCCUUCAGUUUGUGGGGAGAAGAUGAUUUUGUUUUCCAUGGGGGAAGAGAGAGAAUGGAGAGAAGAGAUGCACGGAACUUUUUCCAAGAGAGAGAGAGAGGAAGAUACGUGAGAGAGAGAUGGAGUGGGAGAUACGGGAAAGAGAGAAGGGAGAGAUGAAGGGACGUGUUUA